Molecule: transfer RNA, 76 nt
Filed under: Flavonifractor plautii
Lineage: Bacteria; Bacillati; Bacillota; Clostridia; Eubacteriales; Oscillospiraceae
Also listed under: 11 other names
Description: tRNA-Ala
Rfam family: tRNA
About the family: Transfer RNA (tRNA) molecules are approximately 80 nucleotides in length. Their secondary structure includes four short double-helical elements and three loops (D, anti-codon, and T loops). Further hydrogen bonds mediate the characteristic L-shaped molecular structure. tRNAs have two regions of fundamental functional importance: the anti-codon, which is responsible for specific mRNA codon recognition, and the 3' end, to which the tRNAs corresponding amino acid is attached (by aminoacyl-tRNA synthetases). tRNAs cope with the degeneracy of the genetic code in two manners: having more than one tRNA (with a specific anti-codon) for a particular amino acid; and 'wobble' base-pairing, i.e. permitting non-standard base-pairing at the 3rd anti-codon position.
Source: RNAcentral
GGGGGUAUAGCUCAGCUGGGAGAGCACCUGCUUUGCAAGCAGGGGGUCGUCGGUUCGAGCCCGACUAUCUCCACCA